AGUUAACGUAGCAUAACUUGGUGUUGCAAAAGGCCUAAACCCUUCCCAUAGAGGUUCAAAUCCUCUCAUUAACU
RNAcentral lists this transfer RNA (74 nucleotides) under Ololygon sp. KAV10. Its description in RNAcentral is "tRNA-Leu". It matches the Rfam family "tRNA". Rfam says of the family: Transfer RNA (tRNA) molecules are approximately 80 nucleotides in length. Lineage: Eukaryota; Metazoa; Chordata; Amphibia; Anura; Hylidae. The record is from RNAcentral.